This 451-nucleotide ribosomal RNA is filed under the name uncultured bacterium. RNAcentral's name for it is "partial 16S ribosomal RNA". It matches the Rfam family "Bacterial small subunit ribosomal RNA", at positions 29 to 523 of the family's 1533-position model. The record is from RNAcentral.
AACGAACGCUGGCGGCAGGCUUAACACAUGCAAGUCGAACGGACGUAGCAAUACGUCAGUGGCAGACGGGUGAAUAACACGUGGGAACCUUCCUCGUAGUACGGAACAACUCAGGGAAACUUGAGCUAAUACCGUAUACGUCCGAGAGGAGAAAGAUCUAUCGCUAUGAGACGGGCCCGCGUCCGAUUAGCUCGUUGGUGGGGUAACGGCCUACCAAGGCAACGAUCGGUAGCUGAUCUGAGAGGAUGAUCAGCCACACUGGGACUGAGACACGGCCCAGACUCCUACGGGAGGCAGCAGUGGGGAAUCUUGGACAAUGGGCGAAAGCCUGAUCCAGCCAUGCCGCGUGAGUGAAGAAGGCCUUAGGGUUGUAAAGCUCUUUUGGCAGGGACGAUAAUGACGGUACCUGCAGAAUAAGCCCCGGCAAACUUCGUGCCAGCAGCCGCCGUAA